CUCGAUAUCACUUUUAAGUUUUAUUAGAACAAACGUAAGAGCUCGCGUACACCGGGAUUCUCUUUACAUUCGAAAUUGUACGUAUAUAAAAAAAAUAAAAAAUGAUGAAAUUAAAAAAAAAAUGGGGGGGGNAGGUUCAUUUGUUCAUACCAGUUGCAUCUUUUGCUUUUUCUGCAGCUCCUUGUGCACUUUCCUUCACCUGCUGUCCAGCCUGCAAAAGUUUGAUCUUUUUAGUCAAUUAAAUUGGUUUUCCAACGUCAAAAUAGAUGACGACUGUUGUGAUUAUAAAACAAAGAUUGAUACAUGUAGAUUUAUGUUAUAAUCUUUGAAUUGAUAUGAGUUUUGAAUUUGAAACAUAUGACUAUUGACAUUUCGAAAUCAAAGGUGGUAUAAAACUGGAAAUUUGCGACCUGCUGAACGGAGUCCUGAGCAGACUGGGCAGCUUGGCCAGCCUUGUCCAUCAGCUGACUUCCCUUCUCCUGAGAACCACAAAACAAAGUUUGAAUGUUAUAUACAUACAUACAUACCUACAUACACACACACAUACGUACAUAUAUACAUACAUACAUGUACGUGUGCAUCCAUGCAUACUACGUAAAUGAUAUCUAUAUGAGAGUUGAGAGAUUGCUCACUUCGACUUGGCCCUUGGCUUGGCCAGCUUUCAUUUCUGCGCUUUGAGAGUUGUUCAUGGUUCUUGUUUUGAGAUUGGUACGAUUGAAAUGUGUUGAAUACAAACGGAUUGUUUUGAUGAAAAGCUACAAAGGGGAGAUGGGAUUUAUAUAUGGCAUGUAAAUGCUCGUUUUCCAUUAAUAUCUCCAUAUUUUUUGGGCGUUUGAAUAGGAAGAAGUUGUGUAUGAGAAGGAAAACUUACACUUGGUAUCAUUU
This 885-nucleotide long non-coding RNA is filed under the name Lactuca sativa (garden lettuce). RNAcentral describes it as "long non-coding RNA (LSAT_LNC002637)". Lineage: Eukaryota; Viridiplantae; Streptophyta; Magnoliopsida; Asterales; Asteraceae. The record is from RNAcentral.